Scatophagus argus is the source of this 1239-nucleotide long non-coding RNA. RefSeq lists it as uncharacterized. Lineage: Eukaryota; Metazoa; Chordata; Actinopteri; Scatophagidae. The record is from RefSeq and is a predicted model, not a curated record. The transcript is spliced from 6 exons.
UGCAUUGGGGCGGAACACUUAAUUGGCAGCCACUUCCUGCGGGAGGUAAUUUUUGUGACCACACACUUGGAAAUCUUUAUUGUGACGGUGUUAAUCGAGUUCUUGGACAAAGUGAAGUAAAGUCAUUAUUGUAAGCUUCUGUAUAGCAUUUAUCUUUAAAAUAUUGUUCAGGAAAUACGUUGUGGAGAAAGGUGGAAGCUAUGAAGGGAAUUAGCUCCUUUGGUGAUAAGCUGCCAGCGAGUUUUCACGGGACGAAUUGAACAACGAUGGAAUAAAGGAGCCCUGUUUUUUAAUCAAAGUUCGCGUCUGCGUGUUACUGGGGAAGCUACAACCUCAACAUAACGAGACACACAACGUGAAAGCUGAAAGUGGCUGCAGCUACAGUAUGCCCAUUCUGUUCUGGUGUGUGUGACUCCAUCCGUAGCUCUUUUUCCUAUCCAUGCAAUCUGUGAUUGAUGGAAUGAGCCGAGGAGCAGAGCACUGUCUGAGGGAGGUGGAAGUAUUUAUUGGAGCAAGUAAAAAAUGGAGCGUGAGAGAGAGAGAGAGAGAGAUGAGCUGUCAGGAUUUCUUGAAUGGCACAGCAGUUUCCACCUGCAAUAACAAGGCCUUUGAAUCCCUGCUGCACUGGCUCAGACAGAGUGAAAAGACUCUCUUUGUGAUGGUCUCUGACAUGCUGUUAUUGCUUUUCACGCUAAUCGAUGUGCACCAAUGACCAUGCAUGUAUGCACAGAAGCAUACGGGUCAUUUUUGUGUCUCUCAAGUGGAAGCCAAAAUCAAAGCUUUUUUUCUGAAAUGCAUGUCUCUUCUCCAAAACUGGGAAAACCUGACACCUAUAGGCAUAGUUGCAGUGUUUUGGUUGGUCCCUGUCUGUCUUGUCUGUUCUGUGUAUGUCCAGGGCUGGGUAUGGUGACCUACUUUUCCUUCCUGCCUCUUCACCUACGCACAUGCCGUCCAUCAGCUUCAAUAAACUCCACCCCAACCUUCAAAGACCAUCUCCACUCACUGCACCCAGCUCUCCUAGCGUCUCCCUUGAUUUUGCCAUCUCCCUGGAUCAUCUCUGUGUUCAGUCACUGUGAUCCUCCUCCCUGGAUGACUCCCCCACCCUGCUAUUCUCACCUGCCACAUCAACAUCACUGGAUUCAGGGCUCUGGAUUUUGUUUUUCUUGGACUCUUAGUUAUAUUUAAGACUUAUUUCAGCAACUCUGUCCUUUGUUAAUUGAUUAAAAACUUUACUUUUUG